This 512-nucleotide long non-coding RNA is filed under the name Jatropha curcas. RNAcentral's name for it is "long non-coding RNA (JCUR_LNC001908)". The record is from RNAcentral. Lineage: Eukaryota; Viridiplantae; Streptophyta; Magnoliopsida; Malpighiales; Euphorbiaceae.
GAUGGGUUUAUUAUUUGUGUUGAAUAACCUAUGAAAAUGUGACUAUUUUAGUCAUAUAAUUUGGUAUUUUUGAUGGGUUUGUUGGUCUAUGUGAUUAAAUAGAUGCAGGUAUUAGUUGACUCUAUUUAUUUGCCUUUUUGAGAUAAGAUCACGAGGUCAAAGGAUGAGGAGCUGCUGGAUUCUUUUUGGAAGAUUUAUUCAAAGGUUUUGAAGAAUAGAGAGGAUCAUGAGAUUUUAUUUUGUUGGAUUUGAUUUGAUUGUAAAUAUAUUUUUCUCAGUUUCCUUUGAAAUAGUCUUCUCUUCUCUUCUCUUCUAUAAAAGGGAGAGAUGGACUAUUAGUUGGGAUAUCAUAGUUUUGAGUUAAUAAUUCUUUUCUUUAGUUUGUAAGCUUGGAAAUGGCCAUACGUGGCUGAAUUCUUUCAAUUCCAGCUUAAGGUUUAAUCAAGUGCUAGUUCUACCGAAGUGUUGUGAGAAUUGUUCUUCUUUUUACUCAUUUAACUCUUCAAUAUUUG